This 77-nucleotide transfer RNA is filed under the name Coprothermobacter sp. RNAcentral describes it as "tRNA-Arg". It matches the Rfam family "tRNA". Rfam says of the family: Transfer RNA (tRNA) molecules are approximately 80 nucleotides in length. Their secondary structure includes four short double-helical elements and three loops (D, anti-codon, and T loops). The record is from RNAcentral. RNAcentral also lists the same sequence under 3 other names. Lineage: Bacteria; Pseudomonadati; Coprothermobacterota; Coprothermobacteria; Coprothermobacterales; Coprothermobacteraceae.
GCGCUUAUAGCUCAGGCGGAUAGAGCGAUGGAUUCCUAAUCCGUAGGUCGCAGGUUCGAGUCCUGCUAAGCGCACCA